GGAUUGAGCCGUGGCGAUUUGCGGCGUAUUGCGGCCACGUUAAACAACCGCUAAAAAGCCAGACCCCGUACAGG
This 74-nucleotide non-coding RNA is filed under the name Gemmatimonadota bacterium. The record is from RNAcentral. Lineage: Bacteria; Pseudomonadati; Gemmatimonadota.